GAUGAACGCUGGCGGCGUGCCUAAUACAUGCAAGUCGAGCGAACAGAUGAGGAGCUUGCUCCUCUGACGUUAGCGGCGGACGGGUGAGUAACACGUGGAUAACCUACCUAUAAGACUGGGAUAACUUCGGGAAACCGGAGCUAAUACCGGAUAAUAUAUUGAACCGCAUGGUUCAAUAGUGAAAUACGGUUUUGCUGUCACUUAUAGAUGGAUCCGCGCCGCAUUAGCUAGUUGGUAAGGUAACGGCUUACCAAGGCAACGAUGCGUAGCCGACCUGAGAGGGUGAUCGGCCACACUGGAACUGAGACACGGUCCAGACUCCUACGGGAGGCAGCAGUAGGGAAUCUUCCGCAAUGGGCGAAAGCCUGACGGAGCAACGCCGCGUGAGUGAUGAAGGUCUUCGGAUCGUAAAACUCUGUUAUUAGGGAAGAACAAAUGUGUAAGUAACUAUGCACGUAUUGACGGUACCUAAUCAGAAAGCCACGGCUAACUACGUG
Molecule: ribosomal RNA, 497 nt
Filed under: uncultured bacterium
Lineage: Bacteria
Description: partial 16S ribosomal RNA
Rfam family: Bacterial small subunit ribosomal RNA
Source: RNAcentral